Molecule: non-coding RNA, 48 nt
Filed under: Schistosoma haematobium
Lineage: Eukaryota; Metazoa; Platyhelminthes; Trematoda; Strigeidida; Schistosomatidae
Source: RNAcentral
AUCCAGAUGAAAAGUCCCAAAUAGGACGAAACGCGAGUCAAACUGGAU